Molecule: long non-coding RNA, 359 nt
Organism: Gasterosteus aculeatus aculeatus (three-spined stickleback)
Lineage: Eukaryota; Metazoa; Chordata; Actinopteri; Perciformes; Gasterosteidae
Source: RefSeq, a predicted model, not a curated record
CGUCCCCCCAACUAUGGAAGCGAUGACAAUUCCCAGAACCACACAGCAUAUAAUAAUCAUUAUUUUCUUCUGUCAAGUGUUAACAAUUGCAGAUAAACAGUAAUCCGUGGCAGCACAUUGGGAAAAGAGAAGAACAUGUUAUAAGAUUUCUGAGGGUCUCAUCCGAGUCCAACUGCGAGGGAAAUAAUGAGGACCGUCAGACAUGCUGCAAUACAACCUCCUAUCAGGAUCACCUUCUGGAUGGAGCAAAUGGGAGGAGAAACAAGGCGUACUGAGUGCCAGAUAAUAAUUCAGUGGUUGUAAUGAGAAAACGAAAGAGAAACCGAGAAAGAAGGAAAUAAUAAAGAGAGAGAGAGAAA